Molecule: transfer RNA, 78 nt
Filed under: SAR86 cluster bacterium SAR86A
Lineage: Bacteria; Pseudomonadati; Pseudomonadota; Gammaproteobacteria
Description: tRNA-Lys
Rfam family: tRNA
About the family: Transfer RNA (tRNA) molecules are approximately 80 nucleotides in length. Their secondary structure includes four short double-helical elements and three loops (D, anti-codon, and T loops). Further hydrogen bonds mediate the characteristic L-shaped molecular structure. tRNAs have two regions of fundamental functional importance: the anti-codon, which is responsible for specific mRNA codon recognition, and the 3' end, to which the tRNAs corresponding amino acid is attached (by aminoacyl-tRNA synthetases). tRNAs cope with the degeneracy of the genetic code in two manners: having more than one tRNA (with a specific anti-codon) for a particular amino acid; and 'wobble' base-pairing, i.e. permitting non-standard base-pairing at the 3rd anti-codon position.
Source: RNAcentral
UGGGUCGCUAGCUCAGCUGGUAGAGCAGUUGGCUUUUAACCAAUUGGUCACAGGUUCGAAUCCUGUGCGACCCACCAU